UGGGCAAGGUACCUGAAUACAGCGAGC
RNAcentral lists this non-coding RNA (27 nucleotides) under Homo sapiens (human). The record is from RNAcentral. Lineage: Eukaryota; Metazoa; Chordata; Mammalia; Primates; Hominidae.